AUUGAACGCUAGCGGGAUGCCUUACACAUGCAAGUCGAACGGCGUGGCGAACGGGUGAGUAAUGUAUCGGAACGUGCCCAGUAGCGGGGGAUAACUACGCGAAAGCGUAGCUAAUACCGCAUACUAUUGGAGCGGCCGAUAGCGGAUUAGCUAGUUGGUGGGGUAACGGCGCACCAAGGCGACGUACCGUAGCUGGUUUGAGAGGACGACCAGCCAGACUGGGACUGAGACACGGCCCAGACUCCGACGGGAGGCAGCAGUGGGGAAUUUUGGACAAUGGGGGAACCCCUGAUCCAGCCAUCCCGCGUGUGCUAUGAAGGCCUUCGGGUUGUAAAGCACUUUUGGCAGGAAAGCGGUACCUGCAGAAUAAGCACCGCCUAACUACGUGCCAGCAGGCGCGGGAAUAC
RNAcentral lists this ribosomal RNA (407 nucleotides) under uncultured bacterium. RNAcentral describes it as "partial 16S ribosomal RNA". It matches the Rfam family "Bacterial small subunit ribosomal RNA", at positions 30 to 526 of the family's 1533-position model. The record is from RNAcentral.